AGCAAAAUGAUGAAGUUCUUUAAUCCGAAGCUCUAUGUGGAACACAUAUAUAUAAUGGUUUUCAAAGUUCUCUGAUUGCU
Camellia sinensis is the source of this 80-nucleotide small nucleolar RNA. RefSeq annotates it as small nucleolar RNA R160. The record is from RefSeq and is a predicted model, not a curated record. NCBI's taxonomy places the organism in Eukaryota, Viridiplantae, Streptophyta, Magnoliopsida, Ericales, Theaceae.